GUAGUGGUUGACGAAGAUGAGGCCGGUGAAGAGCAGCACCACCAUGGAGAGGAAGGAGAAGACCACGCACACGCAGCCAGCGUCCCCCGCCCCCUACGCGGGGUGGUGGCAGGAAACCGGUUCCUGAGUUUUCCUUCUUUCUCUUCCUCGACACGACCUCCCCACCAGUGUGUUUCUGUUUAUCCUCCUCGCCCGGGGGCUGGGUCCCUGGCGAAGCCUCGUUUUCACCCACCCACCCCCAAGCCAGAGCUCACCAGUGAUGUAAUGCGGGACCCGCGCGGGGAGGGGAAACGGCAGCCUCAACCGCCUGGCAGCGGCGGUUUCUUCUCUUCGUGAAAAUCGUGAUCUCAUCUCUCCGUCCAUGGGCGAAAAAACAGCCAUCACCAGGCCAUUCACGCUUUGUGCUUUUGUUAGCAGAGCCCAGGCAGCCCUGCAGCCCACAUCUAGGGUACAAACGGAACGGCGGCGUUUUCCUUGUAUCAUUUAGAGGAAAUUUUUGAGCUGAACAGUAUUUUUUUUCUCCCUCUCUCUCUCUCUGAAAUAUUGCUGAGAUUUAAAGGAGGACGAAGACAACAGAUUCAUAGCUGGGUCUUGCUGUUUUCCUGACGCUGACCACAGCGGAUCUAGGUGGCUAUUUCGUUGGUGCACAGGCGUUCACAGAGGCAGAGAGGGGAGAAAGUUGUCAAACAGAUUCACAGACUGUCAAAGUGCGGCUUAAACCGAGUUCCUGGGCUCCCUCACUGGCUUCGUCCACUUAAACUUUUAACGUACACAUGUAGAGAGCUGAAACUCCAGGGGUAACAUGGGACAGGUCCUCUUGAUUUAAUGAAAACAGAAGAUCAACUGGACCGGGUAGCAAGAAAUAAGGCUUAAGAAGCACUGGUUUCUCUGCAGAAGACAGCAAGAUGCCCCAGGGAAUGUUUGUGAAAAAGGAUGACUGGAUGGGAAGCAAGCUGAAGAAAAAGAAGGAAAGAAAGAGAGAAAUCAGUAAAUCACCACACAAGAGGUGGAGAAGAGGACUUAUAAAUAUUGUUUCUAUGACAUUUGAAAAUAAAUGUUUUACUCCAUGCUAAUAGUGAAUGUGAUGUCUUCAGUUUGAAGGGCUUUAAGUGAAGCUCAUUAAAACCCACUAUUUUCCA
This 1139-nucleotide long non-coding RNA is filed under the name Homo sapiens (human). RNAcentral describes it as "cancer/testis associated transcript 75". The record is from RNAcentral. Lineage: Eukaryota; Metazoa; Chordata; Mammalia; Primates; Hominidae.